Molecule: ribosomal RNA, 119 nt
Filed under: Clostridium tetani
Lineage: Bacteria; Bacillati; Bacillota; Clostridia; Eubacteriales; Clostridiaceae
Description: 16S rRNA. Bacterial SSU
Rfam family: Bacterial small subunit ribosomal RNA
Source: RNAcentral
CUGGCUCAGGACGAACGCUGGCGGCGUGCUUAACACAUGCAAGUCGAGCGAUGAAGCUUCCUUUGGGAAGUGGAUUAGCGGCGGACGGGUGAGUAACACGUGGGCAACCUGCCUCAAAG